CGGUAACGUUGUGUUCGUGAGGAUUCAUUCGACUACGUUGGUUCAUCUACUUCAUGGACUCGUUCUUCUUCCUUGCGGGAUUUCAGGCAAGAUGACUUCUACCCUGGAUCUCACUACUAUCAUUGCUAUGCUAGUUGCUUUGUUCUAUCGCUAUGCUGCGUUACCUAUCUGUUGCUCUUCAAGCCCCCCAAAAUGCCAUGAACCUCUAACCUUUGACACCCUUCCUAGCAAACCAUUGUUUGGCUAUGUUACCGCUUUGCUCAGCCCCUCUUAUAGCGUUGUUAGUUGCAGGUGAAGUUGAAGAUUUCUCCAUGGUGGAAAGGAUUUUGGUUGGGAUAUCACAAUAUCUCUUAUAUUAUUAAUGCAUCUAUAUAUUUGGUAAAGGGUGGAAGGCUCGGCCUUAUGCCUGGUGUUUUGUUCCACUCUUGCCGCCCUAGUUUCCGUCAUACCGGUGUUAUGUUCCCGGAUUUUGCGUUCCUUACGCAGUCGGGUGAUUUAUGGGACCCCCUUGAUAGUUCACUUUGAAUAAAACUCCUCCAGCAAGGCCCAACAUUGGUUUUACCAUUUGCCUCACCACCACCUAUAUUUCCCUUGGGAGUAAUUAACCCAAGGGUCAUCUUUAUUACAGCCCCCCCCCCGGGCCAGUGCUUGUCUAAGUGUUGGUCCGAACUAGAGCCCUUUGCAGCGCCCCCUCAGGGGAACUUGAGGUCUGGUUUUAGUUGUACGGAUUGCUCAUCUAGUGUUGCCCUGAGAAUGAGAUAUGUGCAGCUCCUAUCGGGAUUGCCGGCGCAUCGGGCGGCUUUGCUGGUCUUGUUUUACCAUUGUCGAAAUGUCUUGUAAACCGGGAUUCCGAGUCUGAUCGGGUCUUCCUGGGAGAAGGUCUAUUCCUUCGUUGAUCGCGAGAGCUUGUCAUGGGCUAAGUUGGGACACCCCUGCAGGGUAUAAUCGUUCGAAAGUCGUGCCUGCGGUUAUAGGCAGAUGGGAAUUUGUUAAUGUUUGGUUGUAGAUAACUUGACACCAGAUCCGAAAUUAAAUGCAUCAACCGCGUGUGUAGCCGUGAUGGUCUCUUCUCGGCGGAGUCCGGGAAGUGAACACGGUUUCUGGGUUAUGUUUGACGUAAGUAGGAGUUCCGGAUCACUUCUUGAUCAUUGCCAGUUUCACGACCGUUCCGCUUGCUCUCUUCUCGCUCUUGUUUGCGUAUGUUAGCCACAAUAUAUGCUUAGUCGCUGCUGCAGCCUCACCACUUUACCCCUUCCUUUCCCAUUUAAGCUUUGCUAGUCUUGAUACCCAUGGUAAUGGGAUUGCUUAGUCCUCAUGGCUCACAGAUUACUACAACAACAGUUGCAGGUACAGGUUAUGCGAUGAUCAUGACGCGAGAGUGAUGCUUGCUUGCGUUGAGUUCUUCUUCUGCUUCUUCUUCGAUCAGGGGAUAGGUUCCAGGUUGGCAGCCUGGGCUAGCAGGGUGGAUGUCAUUUGAGUUUCUGUUUGUGUUUUCAUCCGUAGUCGGAUGAUGCUCUUAUGUAUUGUGAUGUUGUAUUCAUGUGGCAUUGUUUGCCUCUUGUAUGUAUACCCAUCUAUUAUGUAAUGUUGAUGUAAUGAUAUCCACCUUGCAAAAGCGUUUCAAUAAGCGGGUCUAUCCUUGGUGGGACCUUCGAGUUCCUUUUGGAUAGGGUCGCAUAUUGGGCGUGACAAGUUGGUAAUCAGAGCCUCGACCGACCAUAGGAGCCCCCUUGAUUGUUGGCCGUUGUUGAGUCUAGAAGAAAACUAUUUUGAGUCUUAGGAUUAUACAUAUCGGAGAGUAGGAUUCUUUUUACUCCUCAGCCUCUUCGUCGCUCUGGUGAGGUCUCUUGACGUAGAUGUUUUGACUUUCCUCUCCUCAAAUUUCACUAAUUUUUUUUAGGAUCACGCGGGUAUCUUGGAAUCGUUCCGAUGGUUUUGUGACGAGAACAUUGUUCUUGGUGCCUCCUGUCUAUUAUGUGGCUUUGACCCCGGGAGUUGAGCUCCGAGGUGUUGUCGUCACAAUUUUAUCGUUGCAGUUCUGGAAUACCUGAGUUUUGCCGACAUCGAAAAUCUCUUUUAUGCAGUUGUUGGUGAGAUAACCUCGACGUCACCCAGUACUAGGGAGUUCGGGAGUAUUGCCAUAACUCGUAUAACGGAUGCUUUUCGAAGGUUGAGGUACACGAUUUCCGAAGGUUUCUUGGUUAUGUGUUGACGGAUGGAUACAGCUUGGAUGUAGGUAUUGUUAGUUUGGGUGAGAUAUAUUGCUUCCCCCGUAUCCCCAACACCAGAUUGCAUAACCAGAAAGUUUCGGGAGUUUAUAGGUGGGAAUUCAAGUAGCUCUAGUUUUAUCUUUCCAACAGACACAUGAUACGAUAUGGGAUCUAUCAUAUGUUUGUUUCCGGCUUAUUCUGCAAGCCAAUCCUUUGUUUUGUUUUAUUUGUGGUAUUCGAGUUGCUCCGAAGUCAAAUGUUGAAUCCAUACCUUUCCUAAACGGUGUUCUCAUAUUGCUAUGUGAAUACAAAUCCUUCUUGAUCAUCGAGGUCGUCAUGUUAAUUCUUUUCCAACCGGCAUGCUUCUCUUCAAGUGGAUCCGAUCUUUUCAAUAUUUGCGAGAUCAACUCUAAGUUUUCUCACCGGUGUUUGUUUCAUCCAUCCCAAGUUGUCUUUGUUUUCCCGCCCUCCACCCUUUUUUCUUCAAGAACUCAGAUUUCUAAAUCAUGUAUCCUUUUAUUUGUGGGAAGUCUCUUCAUUCUUUUCUUUCAGUGUUCUUAUCCGGCGAUUUCCCUCGUGAAGAUGCUCACAAGCUUCAAGUUCAUCAUUCUUCAUUCUCGUAUUCUUCUCCGGUGGAUCCAAUUCAAGCUUUUGAUAUUCAUCAUAUCCCUUUCCUUGUUUCAAAUGUUUUUCCACGUCGGUGCACCUCUUAAUUGUUCACCUCUCUCUAUUCUUAUCCGGAGUGCUGAAGAUAUCUCAGAAGAAUCAUGUUUCCAUUUUUAAUCCGUUCGAGUUAGUUUGAGGUUUUUCUAUCAUUCAAGCUAUUUAAUUCUACCGGUGCAAUCUCUAUUUGAAGCAAUUCUUCAACGAUGGUUCUUUCAAGUGGGCCCUAACCCACAGGUCUUUUCCUAGGAUCUUACCUGACUCUUCUAAUUUUCCCGGAGCCAUUCCCAAAGUCUUUCGAAGUUUGACGUAAGAAUGAAUUAUCAUCAGUCCUAUGUCUUUCUCCAAGAUCUUUCAAAAAAAAUUCAACGUUGGUUCAACCUUUCCAAUUUUCAUUCUGGAGUGCCUCAACAAUUGUCAUGGUGGUUCUCAUCAUCAUUCUCAACAUUUGAAGACCGAAGAAGAGUUUUUUCCUCUAAAUCUUGGCCAUUCUCUUGAAGAUUCAUGAUUCUAGCUUGAUGCCAUCCUCUCAUAAUUAUUUUAGAUUGUGAGAAUUCUUUUCACCCAUCCGGAUCUAUUCAGGAGUCUUUUCAGUUUGAUUCUCCGGAGCACAUCAUCUCGGAAUCAUUCAUUCCAGCCUUCAGCUCUCGUUAUCCAAAUCUAUCCGGUGCAUCAUUCAAGUAUCCUCUAAUCAGUUCAUGUUCUCUUUGUUCUCAUGUAUCUAAAUCCCUUCAAGUAUCUUCAUUCAUUUUCCAAUUCUUCCGGGUGAAUUGUGCCUUUACUUCGUUCAUUCUCAAUUCUUACGGUGGCUCCUUCAAGAUUUCUCUUCCUUCGUUAUCAUAUCAAUUCAUUCGUUGUUUCCAAAUCCCAUCGGUGGUUCCAUCUAUACCUUCUUGAAGUUGGCACUAUAUCUCUUUUCAAUCCCUCAAGAAGAAUAAGUAGUAUGCCAAAUCCGUUGCUUGUCAUCAAUUAAAUUUGAUGAAGGAUAAGCAUACAAUAAAUCUUAUUCUUAUUUCCUCGAGGUGACUCAAUUCUUCUCUUCCAGAGAUUAUUCAUGAUGAAUAAAUUCUUGAUUACAAGUGAUUCACCUUUUUUCCGGAGUUGGUCAUCAUAUCACAUUCUCGGUUCGAGAGGCUUCAUCUUUUCUUUUCUGGAGUUCCAAGUUUUCCGCAUUAUCUCGUCACGAAGCUCCAUCUAAAUCAUUGCAAGGCUUCACCUUGUGUUUUCAACUUCUCUUCCUUUCUAUCAUCCUUUUAUUACCAGAGUUCUUCAUGGAGGCUCCACAUGAUGGUUCAUCAAGUAUUAUUUUUCAUUCUUCAAUUGUUCUUCAAGAUUUCUCUUGAAGUUAUGACCCGCCAAGCUACACUCAAAAAUAAACAUGGUUCUCAACACAUGUUUUGUUUUGAGGCGUUCAAGCAUUCUUCAUCUUGCAUUCCGAAGUGCAAUCCUUUCUACCUUAUCUUUUGAGAUGGUGUUAUGUCACUCUUGACAAUUUCCCUUCGUGAUUCACAAGUUGUCAGGAAUGAGUUAAUUAAAACCAUCAUUUUUCUCUUCGAUCAUGAGGUAUUUUAGAUCCAUCAAUCUCUUUGUUGGAGUUAUCUUGGGUUAUAUUUCACCUAAAGCCUUCCAUUGGGAAUGUUGCUAUUUGUGGUGCUUGUCAAUAAUCCAAGUUUUUCUCCUAUCCUCUCGGUGAAAGGAGUUGCCAUAUCCUUGUUGACCUCAAUCCAAUCUAUUGUUUCCGUUAGUGGCAGAAUUUCGCCUCAAUUUUGAGAAGUUUGCCAUAAGCCCACAACAAGCUUGUGCCUUUCGUUGUUGAUUUUCCAACAACUCCGUUCAGUCCUUCCUUGUAAGGAUGCUUUCCAAGUUCAUUUGUGGCAGAACUUGUCAUUUUCUUCUCCAAUCUUUUAUUCCAGUGAUCUAUCUUCUAUUCUUUCUUCCGAAGGCAUUGUGAUGUUGUUCUCUUCACUCAUCAUCUUGUUUUGUCAAGACAUGUUCUUUUCCAUGCUUAUCCACUUAACCGGAGUGUUGUGUCUAUCAUUCCUCUUUUAACCGGAGUCUCAACCAAGUGCUUUCAUUUUGCCAAGUUCAAAUUAUAUUCCUUCCAUGUUCAGUCGGAGUGCUGCUUAAAUUAUAUCAAUCUUAUUCCUUCUCUAUCUAGUUGUAACCGGAGUGGUUUCGAAUUCUAUCUUGUCCAACAAACUCUUGAUUCAUGUCUUUGGAACCUUCAAGUUCUCGUAAUGUUCCUUGUUCCUCUUUUCUAACGGAUUUUUUGCAAUCUCGUUCAUCUCUAAUUGCUCAACCUCUCAAGGUUCGUGGUUUCACUCAUUGGUCGAAGAAGCAACUUAGUUUUACCUCUUCUCUUCCCUUUCUGUUUUCCCUCCAGUGCCAUCCUAGAUCUCGGGACGAGAUCCUCUCGUAGUGGUGGAGUGUUGUAACGCCCCGGAUACAACUUUCCAUAUUCGUAACUCCGUCUCUUGCCUUUUCCGGAGAUGCGAUAUGAUAUUUCCUUCGUGGUUGGGUUUUAUCUGUUGUUUUGCAUUUUGUUCUUGUUAUGCAUCUCAUCUCAUGUCAUCAUCUGCAUUUCAUAUGCAUGUUUUCCAAAACUUGCAUCCGUUCGGGUUCCGCCGGUUCUCUCCGUUGUCCAUUCUAAGCCCGACCACACUCGCACGCGCCCGCGGCACCUCCGAAAUAUUAUUUUAUAAGUGGCAUAAAAAUGUUCUCGGAAUGGGUUGCAACUUGUCAUGCGGCCUUAUUAUAGUGUAGACAGACCGCCUGCCAAGUUUCAUCGCAUUCGGAGUUCGUUUGGUAGCCCAACCAUCAUCCGUAGCGGCACCGUUGCCGGUUUAAUCGUCGGACGUUUCGGUCUCCGAAACUACUGCUGGGCCUCUCUUUCUCUCCUCUUCUCUCAGCCCAACCCCUCUUCUCAGCCCACCUGCAGCCCACCUAAACCCCCCUCCAUUCCUGAUCGUCGGAUCGCGAUCGUACGCUUCGAAACGGUCUCAAAACCCCCAACCCUAACCCCCUCUCUCUAUAAAUAGCAGCCCUCCUUGCCAUUUUAUCACCCCUAAACUCCCUCCUCGAAUCCCGCGCCCCCAAUCAUCAGCCGCCGCCACCUCCCACCUUCUCCUCGUAAUCCGGCGCCGGCCACCUCCUCCUCGCCACUUGGCACCGUCCCAUAGGCCGUGCCACCGCCAGUUGUCGCGCGCAGCCAACCGGGUGUUGCCACGUCCUCCCCCGUGCCCCACUUCAUUGCGGCCCGCUAGGAACCCAGAUCGGGCCCUGGGAAGCCCAUCUGGGCCCGGCUCCCGCUCCAGCCCGUGCCCGAGGCGCUCCCUCCUCGGUCCCGAUCUGGAUCGAGGGAGCGAGGAGCUCCUGCCCCGCCUCGCCGGACCUCCCCUGCCCGUCGCCGGCGAACUCAUCGCCGGAGCGUCCCCGCCGUCUUCGCGCUCGUCGCCGGUGAGCCCGCGCAGCCCCAUCCUGUUUCCUCCUCUCUCUCCCUGACCCUGUCUCUCUCUCACUCUCACAGGGUCGCUGCCCCAUCGCAGGAGUUACCCAGGCCGCCGUCGAUGGGCGCCUCGUCGCCGGCCCCUCCGACGCCAGAUCCGCGGUCCCCAGGCCCGGAUCUGCCUGUUCCCGCCGCCCCGCGCCUCCUCUGGCCUCUCCGGCCGUCGUCAGCCCAAGCCCGGCGAGCCCCGACCUCGCCUCGUCCUCACAGGGGUCGGGCACGAGCCCUCCCGUGUAGACCUCGCGCAUUGACCGCCGCCUCCCGCGUGGGCCUCGCUCUAGCCCAGGCCACGUCCCGGCCUGGUCCAGCUCCUCUGCCUGCCCAAGCCUCUCCACCGACUGGGCCUAGCCCAUGGUGAGCAGCCCCCAGCGCCUCUUUGUUUUUUUCACCGAUCGGCCUAGCCAGUUUCGGCCCAUGUCUUGUUUUUUUUUCCUGAACGAAUUUAGCUAUUAUCCAAGUUUUACCAGUUUUACAGAAACCCCUCAUUAUUCAUGCAUUUAAUAUCUCACAAAUGGUGCAUCGGAUUAAAAUAUUUUAUAUAUGUAAAAUGCUUAGAAUUUCAUCUACUUUCAUAAUCUGCUAUUUUCAUCCCAUGUUAAAAUGUUUAAACUUGUUGUUUAUUUAAUUUUGCAUAAUGCCAUGCUAAAAUGAUUUAUUUCAUAACUAAAUAACCAUAGCUCGGUUUUAAUUAAACUUUAUAUGUAAAUGGGGUGGAAAAAUGCCUAGAUUAACAUGGUCCACUUUGUUUUACUGUUUAAAAACUCUAAAAUAUGGUUUAGGGCAGAACAGUACCGAAUCCAAAAUAUGCACAUGGGGAUUUUCCGGAAUUGUCGUUUUGUUGUUCCGGCCUCAUUUAAACUUGCCUAGAUAGGUAGUUUCAUCAUGCUUCACCUCUUGCCAUGCUAAUAACAUUUAAUAUUGUUGGGUACAUAACCGAGAUCAAACUAAAUAAUUGCAUGUGGUGUUUUGUCAAUAUGCAACUCGUUGCAUAUUGAGCUCCACUUUACUUGUAGUAUUGUUUGUUGCACUUUGCCAUGCCAUGCCUCAUUAAAUUGGACAUGCAUCAUACUUGAUUGUGCAUCAUGCCAUGAUUAUGUUGUGUGUUUACUAUGUUGCUUGCUUCUUUCUGGUGUUGCUUCUUAGUUCCGGUAACGUUGCGUUUGUGAGGAUUCGUUCGACUACGUUGGUUCAUCUACUUCAUGGAAUCGUUCUUCUUCCUUGCGGGAUUUCAGGCAAGAUGACUGCUACCCUGGAUCUCACUACUAUCAUUGCUAUGCUAGUUGCUUUGUUCUAUCGCUAUGCUGCGUUACCUAUCUGUUGCUCUUCAAGCCCCCCAAAAUGCCAUGAACCUCUAACCUUUGACACCCUUCCUAGCAAACCAUUGUUUGGCUAUGUUACCGCUUUGCUCAGCCCCUCUUAUAGCGUUGUUAGUUGCAGGUGAAGUUGAAGAUUUCUCCAUGGUGGACAGGAUUUUGGUUGGGAUAUCACAAUAUCUCUUAUAUUAUUAAUGCAUCUAUAUAUUUGGUAAAGGGUGGAAGGCUCGGCCUUAUGCCUGGUGUUUUGUUCCACUCUUGCCGCCCUAGUUUCCGUCAUACCGGUGUUAUGUUCCCAGAUUUUGCGUUCCUUACGCGGUCGGGUGAUUUAUGGGACCCCCUUGACAGUUCGCUUUGAAUAAAACUCCUCCAGCAAGGCCCAACAUUGGUUUUACCAUUUGCCUCACCACCACCUAUAUUUCCCUUGGGUGUAAUUAACCCAAGGGUCAUCUAUAUUACAACCCCCCCGGGCCAGUGCUUGUCUAAGUGUUGGUCCGAACUAGAGCCCUUUGCAGCGCCCCCUCAGGGAAAUUUGAGGUCUGGUUUUAGUUGUACGGAUUGCUCAUCCGGUGUUGCCCUGAGAAUGAGAUAUGUGCAGCUCCUAUCGGGAUUGUCGGCGCAUCGGGCGGCUUUGCUGGUCUUGUUUUACCAUUGUCAAAAUGUCUUAUAAACCGGGAUUCCGAGUCUGAUCGGGUCUUCCUGGGAGAAGGUCUAUUCCUUCGUUGAUCGCGAGAGCUUGUCAUGGGCUAAGUUGGGACACCCCUGCAGGGUAUAAUCUUUCGAAAGCCGUGCCUGCGGUUAUAGGCAGAUGGGAAUUUGUUAAUGUGCGGUUGUAGUUAACUUUGACACCAGAUCCGAAUUAAAACGCAUCAACCGCGUGUGUAGCCGUGAUGGUCUCUUCUCGGCGGAGUCCGGGAAGUGAACACGGUUUCUAGGUUAUGUUUGACGUAAGUAGGAGUUCAUGAUGACUUCUUGAUCAUUGCUAGUUUCACGACCGUUCCGCUUGCUCUCUUCUCGCUCUUGUUUGCGUAUGUUAGCCACAAUAUAUGCUUAGUCGAUGCUGCAGCCUCACCACUUUACCCCUUCCUUUCCCAUUUAAGCUUUGCUAGUCUUGAUACCCAUGGUAAUGGGAUUGCUGAGUCCUCGUGGCUCAUAGAUUACUACAACAACAGUUGCAGGUAUAGGUUAUGCGAUGAUCAUGAUGCGAGAGCGAUGCUUGCUUGCGUUGAGUUCUUCUUCUGCUUCUUCUUCGAUUAGGGGAUAGGUUCCAGGUCGGCAGCCUGGGCUAGCAGGGUGGAUGUCAUUUGAGUUUCUGUUUAUGUUUUCAUCCGUAGUCGGAUGAUGCUCUUAUGUAUUGUGAUGUUGUAUUCAUGUGGCAUUGUUUGCCUCUUGUAUGUAUCCCCAUCUAUUAUGUAAUGUUGAUGUAAUGAUAUCCACCUUGCAAAAGCGUUUCAAUAUGCGGGUCUAUCCUUGGUGGGACCUUCGAGUUCCUUUUGGAUAGGGUCGCAUAUUGGGCGUGACAUUUGAUGACGGUUUUGUAUUAUUUUAGUUAUGUGAUUUGGUGACCGAAUGUUGUUCGGAGUCCCGGAUGAGAUCACGGACAUGACGAGGAGUGUCUAAAUGGUCGAAAGGUAAAGAUUGAUAUAUAUAGGACAAUGGUAU
RNAcentral lists this long non-coding RNA (9353 nucleotides) under Triticum aestivum (bread wheat). RNAcentral describes it as "long non-coding RNA (TAES_LNC016895)". Lineage: Eukaryota; Viridiplantae; Streptophyta; Magnoliopsida; Poales; Poaceae. The record is from RNAcentral.